UUAUAUAUCAAUGAUGAAAUAUUAACAUUGCAACACAUGCCAAUACGGCCUUUUUAGUUUACUAUAUUACAAUUUUAAAUUUCCCGGGAGUUUCGUCCUGGAAACGUCGUGUAAUGAUGACGUGUACGCAAGACUUCACGGGUCUUAAGAAAGUAUGAGCGCUGCACACACAGCUAAAAGUCGUCUGCUCAAACGGCAUAAUUACACAGUGUUUUGGAGAUCUGUGUUGCUGAAUCUUUUGCAAUUUCUUCAAUUAAUACUGGAGAAGUCACAGUAGAAAGAUGGAGUUGGGAAUCUUUAGCCUUGAGCCACACAAACACACGGUGAUUCCUUGUUUAAAAUUCCUGGAGGUGAAACGUUACUAUGGAUCAGAGCGGGGUCAAGCCAACAUGAAUCAAGACGGAAUGUCAACCAGCAGGUUUCGCUGCCGUCGACUCCCCUGAGACACUGCGCAUCAAGACAUCCGUGGAGACACACUUCCGACUAUCAGGAAUACGUACAAUGAGAGAAACAAUGUGACGUUUUCCAAAAAUGAUGGCGCAGUAAUGCAAGA
Molecule: long non-coding RNA, 553 nt
Organism: Nerophis ophidion (straightnose pipefish)
Lineage: Eukaryota; Metazoa; Chordata; Actinopteri; Syngnathiformes; Syngnathidae
Exons: 3
Source: RefSeq, a predicted model, not a curated record